Molecule: non-coding RNA, 203 nt
Filed under: Granulicatella adiacens
Lineage: Bacteria; Bacillati; Bacillota; Bacilli; Lactobacillales; Carnobacteriaceae
Description: T-box sequence
Rfam family: T-box leader
About the family: Uncharged tRNA acts as the effector for transcription antitermination of genes in the T-box leader family. T-boxes are found upstream of many aminoacyl-tRNA synthetase genes and some amino acid biosynthetic genes usually in Gram-positive bacteria. The anticodon of a specific tRNA base pairs to a specifier sequence within the T-box motif, and the NCCA acceptor tail of the tRNA base pairs to a conserved bulge in the T-box antiterminator hairpin.
Source: RNAcentral
GAGUAGGAUAGGACUUGGAAAAGUAAGUGAAAUGAUGGGUACAGAAAGUUCUGAUUGCUGAGAAAGAACCCCCGCUCUUUAACUGAACCUACCAAACGAAGUGAUUAUGAAAAUAAUCCGGUGAAAUCAUCGUUAUCAAUGUUAAAGAGACAUUUACAAAGUAAGUGUAAUUAAGGUGGUACCGCGAGUCAUUCGUCCUUUUU